UACUACUCCCGUUUUGGAUUUUCUUUUAAACGUUUGUCUCUUCGUCUUAUUUAAAAUAAAAUUAUUAGUAUUUCUGUUGUUAUUAGAUGAUAAAAUAUUAAUAGUAAUUUAUGCAUGACUUAUUUUUUAAAAUAUUUUAUAAAUUUUUCAAAUAAAACGGACGGUUAAAUGUUAGACAUAGAAACCCAAAACUUCACUUAAA
RNAcentral lists this microRNA precursor (202 nucleotides) under Oryza sativa Indica Group (long-grained rice). Its description in RNAcentral is "MIR812 microRNA precursor family". It matches the Rfam family "MIR812 microRNA precursor family". Lineage: Eukaryota; Viridiplantae; Streptophyta; Magnoliopsida; Poales; Poaceae. The record is from Rfam by way of RNAcentral.